CAAGUCGAACGAUGAAGUGGAGCUUGCUCCACGGAUUAGUGGCGAACGGGUGAGGAACACGUGAGAAACCUGCCUCGGAUUUUGGGAUAACAAAUGGAAACGCUUGCUAAUACCAAAUAACGUCGGAGAGUCACAUGACUUUCUGACGAAAGGAAUUCCGAUUCGAGAGGGUCUCGCGGCCUAUCAGCUUGUUGGCGGGGUAAUGGCCCACCAAGGCAACGACGGGUAGCUGGUCUGAGAGGAUGGUCAGCCACACUGGGACUGAGACACGGCCCAGACUCCUACGGGAGGCAGCAGUGGGGAAUCUUGCGCAAUGGGCGAAAGCCUGACGCAGCAACGCCGCGUGCGGGAAGAAGGCUUUCGGGCUGUAAACCGCUUUCAGCAGGAACGAAAAUGACGGUACCUGCAGAAGAAGGAGCGGCCAACUAUGUGCCAGCAGCCGCGGUGAUACAUAGGCUUCAAGCGUUGUCCGGAUUUAUUGGGCGUAAAGAGUUCGUAGGCGGUCGAGUAAGUCGGGUGUGAAAAUUCUGGGCUCAACCCAGAGAUGCCACCCGAUACUGCUUAACUUGAGUUCGAUAGGGGAGUGGGGAAUUCCUAGUGUAGCGGUGAAAUGCGCAGAUAUUAGGAGGAACACCGGUGGCGAAGGCGCCACUCUGGAUCGACACUGACGCUGAGGAACGAAAGCAUGGGUAGCAAACAGGAUUAGAUACCCUGGUAGUCCAUGCGGUAAACGGUGGGCACUAGGUGUGGGUUUCUAUUAACGAAAUCCGCGCCGUCGCUAACGCAUUAAGUGCCCCGCCUGGGGAGUACGGUCGCAAGACUAAAACUCAAAGGAAUUGACGG
This 843-nucleotide ribosomal RNA is filed under the name uncultured bacterium. RNAcentral's name for it is "bacterial SSU rRNA". It matches the Rfam family "Bacterial small subunit ribosomal RNA", at positions 58 to 916 of the family's 1533-position model. The record is from RNAcentral.